Long non-coding RNA from Photinus pyralis (common eastern firefly), 863 nucleotides. RefSeq lists it as uncharacterized. The record is from RefSeq and is a predicted model, not a curated record. The transcript has 3 exons. Lineage: Eukaryota; Metazoa; Arthropoda; Insecta; Coleoptera; Lampyridae.
UACAAGAAAUUUUAAAUAAGUUAAACUCAUAAAUAGUUGUAAUUAUGUUGUUUCAAUAUGAAUAGUAAUUUCGUUUUUUAAAUUAUGUAAUAUUACAUUGGGAAUAUGUUAUAUGUUACUAUAAAUAUUUGUUUAUUUCAUGAAAUAAAAAAUAAAACAUAUAAUCUGAUUACGAAAACAUUUCUUCAAAUAUUUGUUCUCUCCGAUGCCUGGUUACGUUUUUUACAUCUGACUGCAAUGGUAUUUCACUAUUAACAUCACUACUUAUGUCAUAAGGUUCUAUUACUGUAUUAUCAUGUUUGCUUUCACAAAUAUUGUGAAGCACACAACAAGCCAUCAUAAUUUUCACACAGAUAUUGAUAUUUAAGUUCUCUAAAUGUUGUAGCCUGCGGAACCUCCCCUUCAAAAGUCCAAACACAUGUUCAACAAUAAUGCGUGUCGAUGAAUGUUUAAAAUUAAACACUUUUUGAUUGUUACUUAGGGCACCGUUGUCCUUAAAUGGAGGUACUAACCAACUCAGAGAUGGAUAUGCUGAAUCACCCAAAUACAGUGAGGACCUCCUUAACAACCGAGCAUCAUGCAGAGAUCCCGGCUCUCCACAAUACACGUCAAUAAAUUGCCUGAAGCUAUUGACAGUUCCUUGUAUUAGCAAACUAAAAAUCAGUACUACUUUCACUACUGCUCCCACUAGUUUCUGGACCUUCCAAUAGAUUAAUAAUGACUGGUAAUAAAUCCAUAAUUAACUACAAAACCAAUUUUUAGGUUAGGUGUUUUUUGGUAAACAAAAUGAGUGUUCCAUUCAACUUCAGAAUAGAGUAGUUGGGAGUGGUUCACUUAAAAUCUUAGAUCAUUUGAAAGGAAAG